This 459-nucleotide ribosomal RNA is filed under the name Triticum aestivum (bread wheat). Its description in RNAcentral is "partial small subunit ribosomal RNA". The record is from RNAcentral. Lineage: Eukaryota; Viridiplantae; Streptophyta; Magnoliopsida; Poales; Poaceae.
AUGGGCCUGGAUGAGAAGAGCGUGGCCAUCGUGGGCGCCGGCGUGAGUGGCCUGGCGGCGUGCAAGCACCUGCUGGAGCGCGGCUGCCGGCCGGUGGUCUUUGAUGCGGGCGACGCCGUCGGGGGCGUGUGGCCGAACGCCAUGGAGGGGACCAGGCUCCAGGCGCCACGGCACAUGUAUCGCUACUCCGACUUCCCCUGGCCGGACUCCGUGACGGAGAUGUUCCCCAACCAGCGCCAGGUCGCCGACUACCUCCACGCCUACGCGCGCCGCUUCGGCGUGCUCGACUGCGUCAGGCUCGGCCACCGCGUGACCAGCAUGGAGUACGUCGGCGUCGCAGAGGAGGAGGUGGUGGCGUGGGAGGAGUGGGCCGGCUGCGGCCAGGCGUUCGGCUCCGGCGACGGGGAGUGGCGCCUCACGGUGGCCGACGACGAAGGUCACAUAGAGGUAUCGACAUGA